This 253-nucleotide ribosomal RNA is filed under the name uncultured bacterium. RNAcentral's name for it is "partial 16S ribosomal RNA". It matches the Rfam family "Bacterial small subunit ribosomal RNA", at positions 524 to 776 of the family's 1533-position model. The record is from RNAcentral.
UACGUAGGGUGCAAGCGUUAUUCGGAAUUACUGGGCGUAAAGCGCACGUAGGCGGCUUUCUAAGUCGGAGGUGAAAUCCUGGAGCUCAACUCCAGAACUGCCUUCGAUACUGGAGAGCUUGAGUCCGGGAGAGGUGAGUGGAACUGCGAGUGUAGAGGUGAAAUUCGUAGAUAUUCGCAAGAACACCAGUGGCGAAGGCGGCUCGCUGGCCCGGUACUGACGCUGAGGUGCGAAAGCGUGGGGAGCAAACAGG